CCCAUCACUAGUUAUUAGACACAACCUGACACACCAUGUUAACUGAAUAUGUUUAUGCAUCGUAACAGAAUAGGGACGCAAAUAAAAAUGUGUUAGUCACAAUUUUCUUAACACUUUUUGCUUCGGUCUGAUUCAAAACGCGUUGAUCUGUGUUUAUUUAUCUAAAGUUCAGUUCAAGCAGUUACAAGAGCUAAAAAUUAUAGUUACAAAAUUAGUUCGUGAGGAUGUAUAGUAAAAUGAAUGGAUAUCCAUCAACUUUUAGGUCAAGCGGCGGCCGACUUUGGGGAAUGUCGCACUCACUUCCGUCAGGAAUGUCAAAUUAUGCAUGCGGACAGGAUUCGGAUUUUGCAUACACUUCACGACCACGGAUUCACGAAAUGACUUCUAGCAACACAUUUGGCAAUACUUCUCAUAUAUCAACUUCAAGCACAAGCUUAUUAUCAGGACUCAGUUGCAGCUCAGGUAGCACUAAUUAUAGUGGAACGAACCUGAUAGUCAAUUAUUUGCCGCAGGAUAUGACUGAACGCGAGCUUUACUCAUUAUUUUCUACCAUGGGAUCGAUUGAGAGCUGUCGAGUUAUGAGAGAUUUGAAGACUGGUUACAGUUUUGGCUUUGGUUUUAUAAAUUUUUUAUCCGAGGAAACAGCACAACGUGCUAUCAGAUGUUUAAAUGGCUACACAGUACGGAACAAACGACUUAAAGUUUCGUAUGCCCGCCCACAAAGCGAAGAAAUUAAGGAAACAAAUCUGUAUAUAACAAAUCUCCCAAGGACGAUAACUGAAGAACAAUUAGAUAUCAUUUUUGGCAAAUAUGGAACAAUAGUGCAAAAAAAUAUUCUAAGAGAUAAAUUGACUGGUCAUCCCAGAGGUGUUGCGUUUGUACGGUUCAGUAAACGAGAGGAAGCACAGGAAGCGAUAUCAGCCUUAAACAAUGUAAUACCCCAGGGUGGUACUCAACCUUUAAAUGUUCGGGUAGCAGAUGACCACGGAAGAGCUAAGGCAGCACUCUACGUUCCUUCGUAUAACUCAAUCGUACACAAUAAUCGAGUACCUAGCCCAAGCGUACAAUUGAAAAUGGAUUGCAGCAGUUGUCGUUCAUUAUACGAGUUAGAGAUGGUGAAACGUAAAAACCUUCAGUGUAGUUUGUCAGAGGAGCAGCAACGAAGACGCAGAUUUCAAAGAAUUUGCUAUCGGCAAAAACAAACUCUGGUGAAAAACAAUGCAAAAAUCCAGCAAUUGAAAAAGCAAUUAAAAGCGAGCCAAGCCAAAGAGAAAAAGGGGAACAAACUACUCAAGACCUUAAAAUGCAAUCCGAUAUUGCUCGAGUCCAUGAAAAAUUUUUGUAUCAAUAAAAAUACACGAAGAUAUCCGAGCAUGAAAUACACUGUAACUUGUCAGCGUAUAAAUUCGGGAUCAGCAUACAAAAAUUUGAGAGCAGCAGGUGUUUUAUGCAUGCCGCAUCCUAAAUCUAUCACCAGAUGGCAGCAAUCCGGGAUUCAAUCUUGAAAUCAUACGACGUAUGUCUAUUAUUGCGUCUGGACUCCAAGAACGGGACAAGUUGAUUGUAUUACUCAUUGGAAUGUCUUUGAAACCGACAAUAGGUUUUCAUGCGAAAAGCGACUUCUUCUAUGGUCUCUCGAACGACGGUGUAUUCAAAGUUAAUGAAGAAAAUGAUACUGCUAAUUUAGCUAAUGAGGCUAUUACAAUCAUGGCUAGAGGAGUAGGCAGUAAGUAUAAACAAACCUUCGGAUACUUUCUCGCAAAGACAACCCUUAGCUGUACACGACAACAAAAAAUAAUUGAAGAAGCUGUGAGAACUAUGUUUAAAAUAGGAUAGGAAAUAGGACUGCUAGGGCAUUAGGCGUUACAGUUGAUAAACCAAUGUUCGAUAUAGAUGGCCAUCCCGUAUUGUUUUUUUCGACGCUCCGUACUACACUUGAGUCGCUACGAAACAAUUUAUUCAACAAGAAUGUACUUUUCCAGGACGAAAUAGUGUCUUUCCAACACAUACGUGAACUGUACAAAAUGGAUAUUUCAAAAAUGCCUCGAUUAGUUCCGAAGCUUACUCAAAAAGCGGUCGAGCUUCCUGCGUUUUCAAAGAUGAAUGUCAAGCUAGCAACGCAAACCCUUAGUGGAACCACUGCUAAAGCUAUCAACACAUCAUUAAAUUGCAAUGUUUGGAGAAAGAGGUGUUACCAACUGCUUCAUUUAUAGAGCUUUUCGACCAACUCUUUGAUGUUUUCAACUCUCGGUUCAAGUUUAACUCGGCCAAGGUUCGUAAAUGAAACAUGUUUAUUUUAAUUUUCCUCUUUUUGUAUGUGGUUCUAUAGUUAGGUUAAGGAUAUGUUUAUUAUGUUUAUUUUUUAUCAGACCGACAUCAAAAAGCACAGUUUUAAACAAUGUUGUAUGACGGGCUUGAAAAUCUCAAGUAGUACACAACAGACACAAACACUGGAGCUGUGUGAUAAUUUGCUGAGAAUGUGCACUCCGGUGUUUUAGUCUGCUGUAUUUCUAUCUAAGGACUUCAAGUUCGUCAUACAAAGUUUUUCAAAAUUAUGCUUUUUAAAUGACCGACUAGCGAAAUGGUUUAAAUCCUAAUGUUAAUUUACAAUUUACAAAGGUUAUGAUUAAUUACUGUUGAAUGUUAUCUCUUUUCUUUGCAGCUAUUAUUUAUUUUAUUUAAUUGUCAAUUCAUGAUAUCCUUUUCAUUCAUGAAUAUUCUUUAUAUAGUAUACAGUUUUUAUUAUCCUGUUAAAAUUAUUAUCCUGUCGAAAUCAAUCCGGAAAACCCAAACGUCUGGUUUCCAAUUCCAGAGAAGUAAUUUAGAACGACCAAAGUUUAAAGAUUCUAUCUUAAUAUAUUAUUUAUUUAUUAUAUAAUAUUUUUUUUUAUUCUCGCUUAUUUACCGUCGGUCUAGCUCCGCCACUGUUGUUGUGCCAAUCACCGACGCCCGGGGAGGCGACUCCACCCAGGACCCUAACUCACGACCCGUUGAUUAACGGACCGGCGCCAACGGCUUUACUUCCUCAUGCGAUGGAAGGCGUGAUCCCAGAGAUUUUUCGCCUCAGAAAAUCUCCCGGUGUCGGCUAGGAUUGAAUCUAGACCAGUUGGGUUGGUUGUGAGUGGAUCACGCCACCUCACAACCAUCGACACCUAUGUCGGCGGUGGGAUUCGAACCCAGGCGUCGAGCGUGGUUGGCGGAGACGUUACCAACCACGCUAGGCCCCCGCUCUAUAUUAAAUAAUAUAUAAUAUAUUAUUUAUAUUAAUAUAUUAUUUUUUUCCAUCUUAAUAUAUUAUGUGGUUCUGCCACUUAAUAACCUUCCGUGGGAGGUUUCUUUUAGUUACACUUUAGAUACAAGUAAACCAACGUAACUGUUUGGAUGCUGGAAAUAAACUGACGCUCAACUUCACGUCGUUCGCAUUUAUUAGAAUCUCUUUUGACAGAGCUGCUCGAAUCCGAACAGCACUCUAAUUUAGUUCCUAUAUAUUUUAGGAAAAAUUGAAGUAUCGAUAAUCGAUACUUGUAUGCAACACAGUUGACUUUCUUUGUCUGGUUUUAGUGUUCAUUCUUCUGUUUUUAUGUUUGAAAUGGAAAAUACUCUUGAAUUAGAUGGAAAAUUCAAACAGUUUUUCGUACAGCCGUUGCGUGCUGCAAUAGCUGAAAAUAGUGAUCAUUGGGAUUUUCUGAACAAAAUGGAAAAACCAAUCAAAAAUCUCCAAUUUGUACCUAACUACUGUUUCGAUGCAGCACAAGCAGCCGAAUGCGCUAACACAUUGACAAAAGCACAACGAUUCCCACCAUGCCUAAAUAGAUAUCUGCAAAAUAUAAAAGCGCUUUCUAUGCUUUGGAAAAAUUUAAGCAAAGAAUAUGGAGUUUCCUACAUAUGCACAAUAAAUCUUUGCCAUGAUCCGCUCGAAAACCAAUUUUCCAAUAAAAGACGGGGUUGUGGAUCUAAUGAUUCUCCCAACGCUUUGCAUUUCGCAGCAGCACUAAAGUAUUGUAGUAUUUUUAAUGGCCUACGAGCUGUUGAAAACGCUAACUGUGAAGGCGACAAUUCGAAGAAUAUGAUAGAAAGUCAAAGUAUCGUGGACUCUGAAAAAGAUCCUCUGGAAUGCGCAGGAAGUGAGAAUUGUUCCAUGCGUUUUUUCGUGCCGAUUGAUUUUGGAAACAUAGAACCUUUAGAUGCAGCUGAAGUAAAUACCGUCGUGUACAUCGUUGGUCAUGCGGUUUCUAAGCUCGUGCAUACUCGAUGCCGUCAAAAUAUGAUAAUGCUGGAUAAAAACGAGCUAGACGAAAGCUAUAUAUUUUGCAGAAUGAAACGUUAUUCGAAAUUAUUUCAAUUCCCUAAGAAAGUUGCCCGUGAUAUUGGACUACAAUUGUUCCUCAUUUUUAAAGAAAAGUUUUACGACCUAUUUCGUGAAAGCCGAUUCUCUGUUAAAGCACGGCUCAAAGAAUAUAUACAACAGGACAGUGAGAUUGUUUUUUUUCAAAAUGUUAUGAAAAAUUAAUAAACUGCAUUUUCAAUACUUUCAUCAAUUAGCAAGUUCGCAAAAUGCAAUGCUCAAUAAAUAACAGAAGAGCGAGACGGUUUAGACAACUUGGUAAAGCAAAACGAAUGCAAUUACCUCCGAACAAUAGAAAACGCAGCUCUAAAACACGAACUCCCAAAGUACGAAUUCGACAAAAGGUUUUAACCCGGAUAACAAAGCGAAAAUCACCUACAAAAAAUCGAAGAAUGUUACAAGAAAGGAAACUCGUCUGCAAAAAGGCAUAUUUGCACGUACUGGUUCGUCAAAUGUUGGUAAUGACGGUGCAAAUAUGGAGCAAACAAGAAAGAGCAUCCAGUUACUCGAAGAGCUUGUGGCCACAUUUCCUGAUCGGGGAAAAAAACUUACUCAUCGAGAUUGUCAUGAUCUUUCAAUAGAUUUUAUUGCCAGUACGUACGAAAAGUACAAGUCUGAGCUUCGAACGUUGUUUGAUAAAUAUAUUAAGUAUGUAUCGAAAUGUAUCAAAAAUUGAAAACAUAUUGAAAUGGUACCAAAUAUCGAACAUAUUCACUGAUGAGCAGCAAUAUCGCAUGAGUCUUUAUUUAGAAAAUGAAUUACUAACGGAACAAGAAAAAGGAAUACAUACAGAUUUUUUGGACUCUGUGCUAAUACAUGAAUGGGGCUCAAAGAUUUUCAUUAGCGUAUAUAAAUUCGAUAGCCGCGAAGAGGCUCUCGAGCGUGUGAAGCUUCAGGAAGAAAUGAUAAUAUAUAAAAAUGAUUGAUCCACGAACUCGAACGAUCCACGAAAUUCAUCGUAUUCUCAACAGAAAAACGCACAUCCGAUGGGAAGACGAUUUAGCAAUGGCAGUUAACGAUGAGUAAUUUCAAAUGCAUUCAGAUUGUUAUACCCAACAGGAUCUUGCAGGGAGAGUGAUUACGUGUGCCAAUCAGCUGGUUCUCUGAUGGCUGUUACAAAAGCGAGUUUAUAUACGUGAAAAAAAUGUACAAAUGAUGAAUAAUGUUUACUCCACGAAACUUAAUUUUCAAGAUUUUUUUUUCAUUCGAAUGAAA
Molecule: RNA transcript, 5560 nt
Organism: Wyeomyia smithii (pitcher-plant mosquito)
Lineage: Eukaryota; Metazoa; Arthropoda; Insecta; Diptera; Culicidae
Gene name: sex-lethal homolog
Exons: 10
Source: RefSeq, a predicted model, not a curated record